CAGCGUUUGUCUGUUGAUGCAAAGGUAUCUUAAUGAAACCAAUGAAAUACCCUGCACAUGGAAAAACUGCACUAAAUGGACAAACUAAAAAUUGACGCCAAGGGCUCCUGACCAAGAGUCAAGGAUUGAGAAAGUGUAAAAAAUGGUCCCCAAUGAGACUGUGUAUUGUGACGCCUGUUUGGUUGCCUUAUAUUUAUCAUUAUUUAAUAUUCUGUUUAUCUAUGAAACAACAAUGUUGAUAAUAACACUAAAACAGCCAUUCUUUCCAUCAGAAAUAGUUAAACUUAAGUAAAAAACAUAAGACAGAGUGACUCGUCAGGUCGAGAUGCAUUGCAUAAGAGAAUGGCCAGCAUGCUGAUGACUGGUCAUACAGAAGCUGAUCAUACAGAUGACCGGCCAUACAGACCGCAUCGUACAGACAGUGAUCACAUCCUGAUGUAACCAAUCGCUCUCCAGCUGGAGGAAGUGCUGCUUUAUAAUCACAGAACAUUCACUCACUAUUAAAAUGAUUCUGGCUGCUAGAAGGGAGAACAUAUCCUACAACAUGAAAAAGUCAAGUCAACAGUUCACAUUGUUCACUCUAAACAAGAAUUUCACUUCAUCAGAAAGUACAGUCCUCAAAAAAAAGUUUCAGGGACCAGCUUUAACGUUUAAACCUGUGAAUUUUGGCUGUCCAUGUUAAAGACUGGAAAUCUGCAUGCAGAAUCUGGAUUGUUGGGACAGCUACAUUGGACGUGGUGAAAAGCGAGCAAGGGAAACCAUGGACACCAAUCUCAGUGUGUCCUCCCAGGUCCAGUGGUUUGGGGUGACCUCCUUCCUUUCUUCCAACAGUGUCUUAAAGAAAGAACUGAACAAAUGAAGAUUAUGCUUUCUUCAAUCGACCCGAGCCACCACUGGAGGAAAGGUGGACAAAGUCAGGAAGUUUGUGAACAAUGUGAUGGCCAAGUUUGUUCUCUGUGUUAAUGGAGCAUUGUCCAACAUCCACACAUAGUGCUUGACAAACCUGAGCUAUAUUUAAAUGAUGAGGUUCAUUUAAGCCCUAAGGGAAAUGAUAUAUAUUUUUUAACUGAUAUUAUCCAGUGUUUGAGAGACCACAGACCAUAAGCCUGAUGCUGGAUUGGUGCAUGUUAUGGGAAAGAAGGUCUCCUGUAUUUUUUUUAAGUACCUGUAAAAGUACCCAGCAGUGUGUUCAACAAAUGCCUGACUUAAUAAAAGUAUUCCCCUGACUUACUGCUAUGAUCUUAUUUUAUUUAUCUAGCAUUUAAAAAUAAAA
Carassius auratus (goldfish) is the source of this 1273-nucleotide long non-coding RNA. RefSeq lists it as uncharacterized. The transcript has 4 exons. NCBI's taxonomy places the organism in Eukaryota, Metazoa, Chordata, Actinopteri, Cypriniformes, Cyprinidae. The record is from RefSeq and is a predicted model, not a curated record.